GUGGGUGUGGCACAGCUGGUUAGCGCGUCGGAUUGUGGUUCCGAAGGUCGAGGGUUCGAACCCCUCUACCCACCCGA
RNAcentral lists this transfer RNA (77 nucleotides) under Pseudobutyrivibrio sp. OR37. RNAcentral describes it as "tRNA_His_GTG". It matches the Rfam family "tRNA". Rfam says of the family: Transfer RNA (tRNA) molecules are approximately 80 nucleotides in length. Their secondary structure includes four short double-helical elements and three loops (D, anti-codon, and T loops). Further hydrogen bonds mediate the characteristic L-shaped molecular structure. tRNAs have two regions of fundamental functional importance: the anti-codon, which is responsible for specific mRNA codon recognition, and the 3' end, to which the tRNAs corresponding amino acid is attached (by aminoacyl-tRNA synthetases). tRNAs cope with the degeneracy of the genetic code in two manners: having more than one tRNA (with a specific anti-codon) for a particular amino acid; and 'wobble' base-pairing, i.e. permitting non-standard base-pairing at the 3rd anti-codon position. Lineage: Bacteria; Bacillati; Bacillota; Clostridia; Lachnospirales; Lachnospiraceae. The record is from RNAcentral.